RNAcentral lists this ribosomal RNA (339 nucleotides) under uncultured Desulfocapsa sp. RNAcentral's name for it is "bacterial SSU rRNA". It matches the Rfam family "Bacterial small subunit ribosomal RNA", at positions 1039 to 1382 of the family's 1533-position model. Lineage: Bacteria; Pseudomonadati; Thermodesulfobacteriota; Desulfobulbia; Desulfobulbales; Desulfocapsaceae. The record is from RNAcentral.
UGGUGCAUGGUUGUCGUCAGCUCGUGUCGUGAGAUGUUGGUUAAGUCCGCAACGAGCGCAACCCCUAUUGUUAGUUUGCCAUCAUUCAGUUGGGCACUCUAGCGAGACUGCCGGUAUAACCGGAGGAAGGUGGGGAUGACGUCAAGUCCUCAUGGCCUUUAUGACCAGGGCUACACACGUACUACAAUGGCCGGUACAAAGGGCAGCCACUUAGCGAUAAGGAGCCAAUCCCGUAAAGCCGGUCUCAGUCCGGAUUGGAGUCUGCAACUCGACUCCAUGAAGUUGGAAUCGCUAGUAAUCGCAGAUCAGCACGCUGCGGUGAAUACGUUCCCGGGCCUU